Triticum aestivum (bread wheat) is the source of this 740-nucleotide long non-coding RNA. RefSeq lists it as uncharacterized. The record is from RefSeq and is a predicted model, not a curated record. Lineage: Eukaryota; Viridiplantae; Streptophyta; Magnoliopsida; Poales; Poaceae. The transcript is spliced from 3 exons.
CUUGGUGGCUAAUUAGCUGGGUCUACUUUUAAGCCCAUCUAGUAAACUUCCUAAUCCUAGGCCCAAAAGGCUGCACGUCUCAAGGCCUCAGUAGCUGGCAGCGCAACAAGUCGCUAGGCAAACCACGUCUCCACGGUUCAUGGUCGUCGCCUCCACCUAGAUCUAUUGCGACGGCUCGAGCCGCCCCGCAGUAGCAGUUUUGCAGAGGCAAUCGUCGCGAACUGGCGCAGCGCCUCCCAGCAAAGGCGGCAAGCCGGCAGCCAACGGUGCCUCCUACCAACCAUUCCUGCUCAGAGAUUGAUGCGUCGAUUUUCCAGUAAUGUAGGCGAUUGGGAAUUCCAUCAUUGAUCGUUCCAAGCAGGCUCAUUGAAGAAAAAUCCAUCUCUCCGCUUUGCUAGGAAGCAAUAUUUGUUGCACAAUGUCAUGAGCAACAGUGCAGUGGUGACCUUCGCUUCACCAAGGGCUUCUCUGCAGCUAUCGAGGGUUAGUGUGUAGACGGAGACGCCGACAACGAGAUGGCUGAUAGGGGUGGCGCCGGCAAUGGCGAGGACGUCGACCGACAACAACAGCAUCCCCCUCUCCCAUCAGCAGCUAUGCCACAAUGCUACUCGAGUACUAAAACAAUAUUGGACAAUAUUGAUACAAUCAGGAAUCAGCUAACAUGAAUAUGUGCAUAUGCGUCGGUGCUACUACUGAAGCAGGCAAUGAAACUAAAGGGUGCAUGUUUUGUUCUUUUUCUA